This 1189-nucleotide ribosomal RNA is filed under the name Chinaocerus tubulatus. RNAcentral describes it as "16S ribosomal RNA". The record is from RNAcentral. Lineage: Eukaryota; Metazoa; Arthropoda; Insecta; Hemiptera; Cicadellidae.
AUAAUUUAUUUUUUGUUAUUGUUUAUUUUUAAUUUAAUUUUUUUUUUUUAGUAUUAGUUAGAAAUAAUUUUGUUUAUUAACUGUUAAGGUUAAUUUAAAAUUGUUUUAUGAGUAUUUAUAGUACCUUUUGUAUCAGGGUUGAUUUAUUUUUUAAUUUAUAUUUAUUAUCCCGAAUUAAGGGUAUUUAGAGAUGAAUUUUUUUUUUAUGUUUUAUAUUAUUAAUAAAUUUGUUUCUAGUAGUUAAAAGUUAAUCGUUCCUUACAUAUAUCUGGUUUUAUGGGAAUUAAAUUUAAUUUAGGUUUAUUUUUUUGUACUUAAAUGAUUGGGGAUAAUCUUGAUUUUUUGUUAAAAUUUGUUUUAUCUUAUUUUUUAUAUCUUUAGUAUCUUUGAAUUUAGUUCGUAAUAGAUUUAAAUUAUUAAUAUAUAAUUUUUUAAUUAUUUAUCUUCUUACUAUAAUUAUUUAAUUAAUUUUUAUUUAUUUUUAUUAAUGAUUUAAUUAGUAUAAUUUUUAUUUAUUUAUUUAUGAAUUCGACAAAUUUAAUUUUCAACUGUUUAUCAAAAACAUUUUUUUAAGAUUAUUAUUUAAAGUAGGUUCUGCCCUAUGAUUAAUUUUUUAAAUGGCUGCAGUAUCUUGACUGUGCAAAGGUAGCAUAAUAAUUAGUUUCUUAAUUAGGGGCUUGUAUGAAUGGAUUAAUGAGAAAUUUAUUUUAUUAUAAUUAUUUUUAUAAAUUAAUUUUUUAGUUAAAAUGCUUAAAUGUAUUAUUGGGACGAUAAGACCCUAUAGAACUUUUAAUUUGUAUUUAUUUUAUUAUAAUUUAGGUUUAUAUUAUUUGUAUUAUUAUUUAUUUUUUGCUGGGGUGGUGAAUAAAAUUUUAACUUUAUUUUUUUUUAUCAUUAAUUUAUGUUUUUUUGAUCCAAUAUAUUGAUUUUAAGAUUAAGUUACCUUAGGGAUAACAGCGUAAUUUUAGUGGAAAGUUCAUAUUUAUAUUAAAGUUUGCGACCUCGAUGUUGAAUUAAGAUUAAAUUAAGGGGUAGGUUCUUUAAGAUUAGGUCUGUUCGACCUUUAAAUUCUUACAUGAUUUGAGUUCAAACCGGUGUAAGCCAGGUUGGUUUCUAUCUAAUUAUUUUUUAAUCUUUUUAGUACGAAAGGACCAUUAGAUUCUAUAUUUAUAGUUUAUUUGAAUUUUAU